GUACUAGCUGUCAGCUGCUGGAGACCUUGCUUUCUGUUUCACUGGGAAACAGAAGCAAUCAGAAGGAAACUUCCUCAGACUCCACCUCUCCCUUCACUCCCGCCUGUAUCCGUGCCUGUUACCUGGACGCCUUGUGGAACUUGAAUUCUACGCCCUCCACUGGGACACUGCCCUUCAUCCUCUCUCACCUCCUCCAGGACAACAAAUGUUGUAGUCCUCAUCAUCAGCAGAGACUUUGUGCCAUCCUCUGCUAUAUUAUCCUGAAGAGUGCCUGGCUCAUGCUGCAGUGUUCUGAAUAGCAGUCCAGCUAUGAGGGGAGGUGCCCGUGGCAGGCCUCAGCUGACCCUGGAGAGGCCAUUAAGACCUGGCUGUCGCCUCCACAGCUGCUCGGAGGCAGGAACAGGCAAGUGAGCCUCAGCCUCCUCGUCUGGAAUGAGGGACAAUAGUACCUAUUUCACAGUAAAGUUUCUGGAACAUAGGUGUUCAAUAAAUGACAGACGCUACCAUCACAGAUUACCAAUGUUACAAAACUGUAAACAGAGAAAGGUGGCUUUGUAAGAAGAAAAGAGAUCAUUCUUUUUCCACCAUGUGAGGACCCAGCAAGAGGGUGGCUGUCUGCAAACCCAGGGAGAGAGCCCUCACCAGGAAUCUGCUGGCACCUUAAUCUUGGACUUCCCAGCCUCCACAACUGUGAGGAAUAAAUGUAUGUUGUUUAAGCCA
RNAcentral lists this long non-coding RNA (720 nucleotides) under Homo sapiens (human). Its description in RNAcentral is "myelodysplastic syndrome 2 translocation associated, transcript variant 5 (MDS2)". The record is from RNAcentral. Lineage: Eukaryota; Metazoa; Chordata; Mammalia; Primates; Hominidae.